RNAcentral lists this ribosomal RNA (412 nucleotides) under Verrucomicrobiota bacterium. RNAcentral's name for it is "Verrucomicrobia bacterium partial 16S ribosomal RNA". It matches the Rfam family "Bacterial small subunit ribosomal RNA", at positions 355 to 776 of the family's 1533-position model. Lineage: Bacteria; Pseudomonadati; Verrucomicrobiota. The record is from RNAcentral.
UGGGGAAUAUUGCGCAAUGGGGGAAACCCUGACGCAGCGACGCCGCGUGCGGGAUGAAGGCCUUCGGGUUGUAAACCGCUUUUGAUUGGGAGCAAGCCUUUUGGGUGAGUGUACCUUUCGAAUAAGCGCCGGCUAACUACGUGCCAGCAGCCGCGGUAAUACGUAGGGCGCAAGCGUUAUCCGGAAUUAUUGGGCGUAAAGAGCUUGUAGGCGGUUCGUCGCGUCUGGUGUGAAAGCCCAUCGCUUAACGGUGGGUUUGCGCCGGGUACGGGCGGGCUAGAGUGCAGUAGGGGAGACUGGAAUUCCCGGUGUAACGGUGGAAUGUGUAGAUAUCGGGAAGAACACCAAUGGCGGAGGCAGGUCUCUGGGCUGUUACUGACGCUGAGAAGCGAAAGCGUGGGGAGCGAACAGG